ACAUGAAGCUGGAAUCGCUAGUAAUCGCGGAUCAGAAUGCCGCGGUGAAUACGUUCCCGGGUCUUGUACACACCGCCCGUCACACCAUGGGAGUCGGAAAUGCCCGAAGUCUGUGACCCAACCUGAGGGGGAGGGAGCAGCCGAAGGCAGGUCGGAUGACUGGGGUGAAGUCGUAACAAGGUACC
Molecule: ribosomal RNA, 185 nt
Filed under: uncultured bacterium
Lineage: Bacteria
Description: partial 16S ribosomal RNA
Rfam family: Bacterial small subunit ribosomal RNA
Source: RNAcentral